Molecule: ribosomal RNA, 561 nt
Filed under: Aspergillus oryzae
Lineage: Eukaryota; Fungi; Ascomycota; Eurotiomycetes; Eurotiales; Aspergillaceae
Description: eukaryotic LSU rRNA
Rfam family: 5.8S ribosomal RNA (bases 177-330)
Source: RNAcentral
GUAGGGUUCCUAGCGAGCCCAACCUCCCACCCGUGUUUACUGUACCUUAGUUGCUUCGGCGGGCCCGCCAUUCAUGGCCGCCGGGGGCUCUCAGCCCCGGGCCCGCGCCCGCCGGAGACACCACGAACUCUGUCUGAUCUAGUGAAGUCUGAGUUGAUUGUAUCGCAAUCAGUUAAAACUUUCAACAAUGGAUCUCUUGGUUCCGGCAUCGAUGAAGAACGCAGCGAAAUGCGAUAACUAGUGUGAAUUGCAGAAUUCCGUGAAUCAUCGAGUCUUUGAACGCACAUUGCGCCCCCUGGUAUUCCGGGGGGCAUGCCUGUCCGAGCGUCAUUGCUGCCCAUCAAGCACGGCUUGUGUGUUGGGUCGUCGUCCCCUCUCCGGGGGGGACGGGCCCCAAAGGCAGCGGCGGCACCGCGUCCGAUCCUCGAGCGUAUGGGGCUUUGUCACCCGCUCUGUAGGCCCGGCCGGCGCUUGCCGAACGCAAAUCAAUCUUUUUCCAGGUUGACCUCGGAUCAGGUAGGGAUACCCGCUGAACUUAAGCAUAUCAAUUAAGCGGAGGAA